AAGUGGGAAGAAGACAACAAUUUUAUUCAUCUUGAUCAGUCAUCUGUAGAAAGAAGAGAUAAAGAAAUCAUCCAAUGGAUAAUAUGCCCUUUCAGGUAACUAAUGCCGUGCCUACGGCAAGUAGCUCAAGUAUGAUGUCACUAAACUCUGGAACGGGGCUGAAAUGUGGCAGAAGACCAUCCAUGUAGAUGAGACAGUAGUAUGAAAAUGUAUUGUAGAGGUGGGGAAAUUAUUUAAGCUGUGCCAUCACGACACUGAACUUGAGACUGCCAGUUACAGCUCGAGAAAUGGACACUGGAAUUACCUAUGACUGCCCUCUAAAAUCAGUGAAGUAAACAGGCAAUGUGGCCAAAAAAAGCCAACAGAUCAUCAGCCACCAUUCAGUAAAGAUGUCAUAACCUACUUCAAGGAACAGCACACAAGGAUGAAAUAACAUGCAAGCAGCCAUUUGCUCCCUGGUAAAGUCUUGUCCACGAUGCACGAUUGCAUUUCCCAAGUGCACUAGAAUGCUUAAGUCAGAUUAUCUUCAGAUCCGUGAAAGAGAAAACAACAGGUCAUACUUGGGAGCAGUGCCAAGAAAAGCCAUCUCAGCUUUUUGAAUCAAGCAAACAACAUCAAAACCAAUAAGAGAAUCUUAGAGAUCUUAAUUUCCUUAAAAGAACUGCCUCAUUAAUGUCUUCUGCUCCCAAUAUUUCUAAACACAUACAAACACAAAACAACAGGGAAGCCAAUUUUCCCCUAGUACUUUGGCCCAAAUAUUCAAUAGUUCAAGCAAAAAUUAUAGAAGCGCGAGCUAUUUUAAUAUAGUUGAUUUAUGAACGCAUAGGUUUCUGUCACUAACUUCAGUGGAGGUAAAAUAUCACUCGUGAAGUAGGUAUUAAGAAUCAUAAUGAAAAUCUUGAGGUAAACGAGUUAUUUCAUACAGGACCAUCAA
Non-coding RNA from Meleagris gallopavo (turkey), 934 nucleotides. The record is from RefSeq and is a predicted model, not a curated record. Lineage: Eukaryota; Metazoa; Chordata; Aves; Galliformes; Phasianidae.